GGGAGGCCGGGCCGUGAGGGAGGCCGAGCCGUGAGGGAGGCGCUGCCCCGGCCCGGCCCGACCCGGGUGAGCCGCCCCAGCCGGCUCCGGCCCUCGCCUUUUUCUUUCGCCAGAGCAUUACGUCAUGCUUUUUCCUCCACGUGGAGAAAUAACAUUGUUAAGAGUUCUGAAGGACUACUGCCAGUUCUACACAUAGGGAUAAGAGAAUCAGCCCAUGUUCACAAAGACUAUUGCUCACACAAGCAAGAGUUACAAUAUUUUUCUGAGCACACUGGUCAUUCAUGGUUAUGGAUUCUCUGUAAGGCAAACAAGGUCUACUACACUAAAAAAAAUAGACCACUGAAAAACUAACAGCAUUCUGAUGUCUACUCUUUGUAUGUGUGACACCUGAUCAUCUGUUCUCGUAAAAAGGCUGGGUAGCUAAUGGAGAGGAAAUCCCAGAACAUAACACAUGAGGAAGAAAGCUCUUUAAAAAGUUAUGCUCUGGGUAUAACUUUAUUUCUCACCUCCAGAGAAAAUUUGUACCAGAAUGUAGAAGCAGGAUUACGACAACAAAGAGCCUUUCUCAGGAGAAUAGUUUGUAUUCAAUAAAGAACACAAUUUUUUUAAAGACA
RNAcentral lists this long non-coding RNA (614 nucleotides) under Cyanistes caeruleus (blue tit). RNAcentral's name for it is "lncRNA (ENSCCEG00000012519.1)". Lineage: Eukaryota; Metazoa; Chordata; Aves; Passeriformes; Paridae. The record is from RNAcentral.